RNAcentral lists this long non-coding RNA (1755 nucleotides) under Rattus norvegicus (Norway rat). RNAcentral's name for it is "long non-coding RNA NONRATT028097". The record is from RNAcentral. Lineage: Eukaryota; Metazoa; Chordata; Mammalia; Rodentia; Muridae.
ACACCUGCUCCUGAACACCUGCUCCUCACUGCCUUGAUGGAGGCAGGCUGUAGCGAUGGUUCUCAAAGGAGAUGGUGUUCUGCUUCCUACGGGGACACACCUAGCUGCCUCAGUGUGACCCCAGAGUUCAUGGCUCUCCUUUGGCCUCUGGUCUGGGCUCUGGUAACCCUUUUCCCAGACUUAGCACCAUCUCAGGUGAGGAGCCCUGGCUCCGCUUGACCUCAGCCCUUACUCUGCAGUCAUCACUCUCGGGGCUGCAUGAUGGUCUCCACCGCUCUUCCAGUCCAGUUCACGGCAGCCCUUCCCCGAGAUCUGGCUUCGUUCAGCUCUUUGGACUGAAAUGGUCCCAAACUGCAGAAGGCUCUGUUUGCUCAGUUCUCUUUCCCGCAAGGGAACCUGUUUCCUCCUCCUCGACUGGGAUUCAGGCUUAAGCCAGUCUCUCAGUAGGGCCUGUGGCAGAAACACCUCAGGUCCAUGCCAAGCUGCCUCAGUUGCCUCAGGCAGGCUUUGCAAAGGCAAGGGGCGUAAACACCAGCAGCCAUUCACCUGGCCUAGCUUGCCAGCAGACAUACCUGAAACACUUUCUGACCUCUCUGUGGGAGAGACAGCCAGCAUAUCCAGAGCUUGCUACCACCCUGACUGACAAACAUCUCUGGCUGGGGACCGUGAGUAAGUCUGGUUCCAGUCCUGAGCUCUGGGUCACUGUUCCUGGGUAUGCCUCCCACCAAUUCAGCCUGUGAAGGACUGAAAGAGAUGCUGAGAAAAGUACACACUUAAUAAGGUUGUGACAGGCCUGUGGGAACCUCAGGGAGGGGCACCUCCAGAGGCCCUCAGAAAUCGUGAAGCCAUGUAUGAAGAGAGCUGGUGAUUCUCCUGCACCGUCAAACCUUAGAAAAGCAAAAAAAGGCUUUCUCUGGCUGGGUCCACCAAAUAUUUUAUCACAAAUAUAGGACCUGAACUCGAGUUCUACCAGAAACCCAUGUCCCAAGAAGAUCCUUAGAAGGGUUAAACUGACCAAGGCUCCUCCCUCAAAGACAGCCCUAAGUGCCUGUGACACAGUUCAGCUGUGACAAAACCCUGCCACCCACCUUCCUGCCCCCAACACUAACUGAACUUGGGCCUCUGGUCUUUGUGAGUCCACAGGGUUUCCAGAAUGCCCUGGUGGGUUCCAGAAGCAGCCAUGGCUGUAGCAGACCCCUCGGACACAUGACGGGCAUGCAGGAAGGAAGCUGACUGACAGCAGAAGAGAGUACCAGUCAGCCAUCUGCAUUUGGAGGCAGACGGGAUGGGCUCACCUACAGUCAGUGCAAGGCCAUCUUCUGUAGAUGUCUAGCCUGGAACAUCUCCUGAUUUUCGACAUGUGAGCCAUGCAAGAGGGCAGUCUGAGGAGUUCAUGGCUGUUAUCAUCAAUUCCCCUAACUGCCUAGAUCCAGUAGGUAUGGCCAAGAAAUAAGAGAAUCAGCAGGCCAGAUGUCACUCCACCCCACUUCCAGGCUUCCCAGAAGGUGGACCUGGAGUCAGGAGGCAAGACUGAGCUGAGAGACGGCUAGUCUCAUACAGCUUUGCUGGGCCUUUUCACUCCCCCCUCCUGCCUCAUGAUGUUUUUUCUCUCUCUCCUUCUCUGGGGGAUGGCCACAACUACAGUCUACAUAUUUAUUCAGCAUUUUUAAUAAACCCAUUUCAUCUUUAUGUGGGUGCAUGUGUGCACAUGUGAGUGUUGGCAUGUGCAUAUUUUCUCAUACAAAGGCAGUAGCU